Non-coding RNA from Pocillopora verrucosa, 236 nucleotides. The record is from RefSeq and is a predicted model, not a curated record. Lineage: Eukaryota; Metazoa; Cnidaria; Anthozoa; Scleractinia; Pocilloporidae.
AGAAAAUGUCUACCAGUCCUCCCUCAAGAAGGAAAAGAAGGAAGGAAGGAAAUAGUGAUCAACAUCCCUCCCUUAUAAAUCAAGUGGAAAACAUACAGAUCUCAAGAAAUGAAUCUUUAUCAGAAGGCUGUGGUGACUCAGGUUUUGAAACAUGUGACAUUCUUACAGAUCAAGAUUUGCUUGCAUCUAGUGAUGAAGACAUAGAUUUAGAGUGGUGGAUGAAAUACCAAUGUGAG